CUUUUCUCGCAUGAGAGAAGAUGGAAAGACGGUUUACGCUGUCACUUAUAGAUGGGCCCGCGGCGCAUUAGCUAGUUGGUGAGGUAAUGGCUCACCAAGGCGACGAUGCGUAGCCGACCUGAGAGGGUGAUCGGCCACACUGGGACUGAGACACGGCCCAGACUCCUACGGGAGGCAGCAGUAGGGAAUCUUCCGCAAUGGACGAAAGUCUGACGGAGCAACGCCGCGUGAACGAAGAAGGCCUUCGGGUCGUAAAGUUCUGUUGUUAGGGAAGAACAAGUACCAGAGUAACUGCU
RNAcentral lists this ribosomal RNA (296 nucleotides) under Bacillus sp. (in: firmicutes). RNAcentral describes it as "Bacillus sp. (in: Bacteria) partial 16S ribosomal RNA". It matches the Rfam family "Bacterial small subunit ribosomal RNA", at positions 180 to 468 of the family's 1533-position model. Lineage: Bacteria; Bacillati; Bacillota; Bacilli; Caryophanales; Bacillaceae. The record is from RNAcentral.